UACAGAGGGUGCGAGCGUUGUCCGGAAUCACUGGGCGUAAAGGGCGCGUAGGUGGCCUGGUAAGUAGGGGGUGAAAUCUCGUGGCUCAACUGCGAGACGGCCUCCUAGACUGUCAGGCUCGAGCAGAGUAGAGGCAGGUGGAAUUCCCGGUGUAGCGGUGGAAUGCGUAGAGAUCGGGAAGAACAUCGGUGGCGAAGGCGGCCUGCUGGGCUCUUGCUGACACUGAGGCGCGACAGCGUGGGGAGCAAACAGG
Molecule: ribosomal RNA, 253 nt
Filed under: uncultured bacterium
Lineage: Bacteria
Description: partial 16S ribosomal RNA
Rfam family: Bacterial small subunit ribosomal RNA
Source: RNAcentral